Molecule: unclassified non-coding RNA, 21 nt
Filed under: Mus musculus (house mouse)
Lineage: Eukaryota; Metazoa; Chordata; Mammalia; Rodentia; Muridae
Description: oocyte_clustered_small_RNA12084
Source: RNAcentral
UUGUGGCGCUGACCUUGCUGG